AAGCGAAACGGCCCCACAUGGGCCGUCGCCGGAACGUGGCGGUUCCGGCCUGACGAGCAGCCAAG
Molecule: non-coding RNA, 65 nt
Filed under: uncultured Desulfovibrio sp.
Lineage: Bacteria; Pseudomonadati; Thermodesulfobacteriota; Desulfovibrionia; Desulfovibrionales; Desulfovibrionaceae
Source: RNAcentral